AUGGUGGCUAGGCUUGCGAAGAGAGUGCAUAUAUAUAGCUUGCUGGUCUGCUAUAUACUAGUACUACUAUUGGUAGCUAGGAGGCGUGCUGCUAGUGUUGCCUGGGCUCUCAUUUGGGAAUAUAGCUUGCUGGUCUCGUGUAUACUAUUGGUAGCUAGGAGCCCAGUUAGGGUAGAAUUCUUCAUGUCUUAUAUGUUAACUGUCAGUUACAACUUCCAUGCAUCGCGUACGCCGUCUCAACUACGGGUUUCAACGUUGCCAAAUGACAUAGUAUAUUGUGCGUGCUCUGUCUCCUGUCACAGAUGGUGA
This 309-nucleotide ribosomal RNA is filed under the name Triticum aestivum (bread wheat). RNAcentral's name for it is "partial small subunit ribosomal RNA". Lineage: Eukaryota; Viridiplantae; Streptophyta; Magnoliopsida; Poales; Poaceae. The record is from RNAcentral.